UACGUAGGGUGCAGGCGUUAAUCGGAAUUACUGGGCGUAAAGCGUGCGCAGGCGGUUUCUUAAGUCAGAUGUGAAAGCCCCGGGCUUAACCUGGGAACUGCGUUUGAAACUGGGAGACUUGAGUGUGGCAGAGGGGGGUGGAAUUCCACGUGUAGCAGUGAAAUGCGUAGAGAUGCGGAGGAACACCGAUGGCGAAGGCAGCCCCCUGGGCUAACACUGACGCUCAGGCACGAAAGCGUGGGGAGCAAACAGG
RNAcentral lists this ribosomal RNA (253 nucleotides) under uncultured bacterium. RNAcentral's name for it is "partial 16S ribosomal RNA". It matches the Rfam family "Bacterial small subunit ribosomal RNA", at positions 524 to 776 of the family's 1533-position model. The record is from RNAcentral.